CCUACGGGUGGCAGCAGUGUGGGAUAUUGCACAAUGGGGGAAACCCUGAUGCAGCGACGCCGCGUGUGGGAAGACGGUCUUCUGGCUUGUAAACCACUGUCCCCAGGUACUAAAAUGACGGUACCUGGGGAGGAAGCUCCGGCUAACUACAUGCCAGCCGCCGCGGUACUAAGUAGGGAGCAAGCGUUUUCCGGAUUUACUGGGUGUAAAGGGAGCGUAGACGGCGCUGCAAGUCCGGAGUGAAAGCCCAUGGCUGAACCAUGGUACUGCUCUGGAAACGGUGGAGCUUGAGUGAGGGUGGGGCAGGCGGAAUUCGUAGUGUAGCGGUGAAAUGCGUAGAUAUUAGGAGGAACACAGGCGGCGAAGG
Molecule: ribosomal RNA, 367 nt
Filed under: uncultured bacterium
Lineage: Bacteria
Description: partial 16S ribosomal RNA
Rfam family: Bacterial small subunit ribosomal RNA
Source: RNAcentral